GAUGAACGCUGGCGGCGUGCCUAAUACAUGCCAGUCGAGCGAACGGACGAGAAGCUUGCUUCUCUGAUGUUAGCGGCGGACGGGUGAGUAACACGUGGAUAACCUACCUAUAAGACUGGGAUAACUUCGGGAAACCGUAGCUAAUACCGGAUAAUAUUUUGAACCGCAUGGUUCAAAAGUGAAAGACGGUCUUGCUGUCACUUAUAGAUGGAUCCGCGCUGCAUUAGCUAGUUGGUAAGGUAACGGCUUACCAAGGCAACGAUGCAUAGCCGACCUGAGAGGGUGAUCGGCCACACUGGAACUGAGACACGGUCCAGACUCCUACGGGAGGCAGCAGCAGGGAAUCUUCCGCAAUGGGCGAAAGCCUGACGGAGCAACGCCGCGUGAGUGAUGAAGGUCUUCGGAUCGUAAAACUCUGUUAUUAGGGAAGAACAUAUGUGUAAGUAACUGUGCACAUCUUGACGGUACCUAAUCAGAAAGCCACGGCUAACUACGUG
Molecule: ribosomal RNA, 497 nt
Filed under: uncultured bacterium
Lineage: Bacteria
Description: partial 16S ribosomal RNA
Rfam family: Bacterial small subunit ribosomal RNA
Source: RNAcentral